Molecule: ribosomal RNA, 510 nt
Filed under: uncultured bacterium
Lineage: Bacteria
Description: partial 16S ribosomal RNA
Rfam family: Bacterial small subunit ribosomal RNA
Source: RNAcentral
GACGAACGCUGGCGGCGUGCUUAACACAUGCAAGUCGAACGAAGAGCGACGGAAGCUUGCUUCUAUCAAUCUUAGUGGCGAACGGGUGAGUAACGCGUAAUCAACCUGCCCUUCAGAGGGGGACAACAGUUGGAAACGACUGCUAAUACCGCAUACGAUCUAAUCUCGGCAUCGAGGAUGGAUGAAAGGUGGCCUCUACAUGUAAGCUAUCACUGAAGGAGGGGAUUGCGUCUGAUUAGCUAGUUGGAGGGGUAACGGCCCACCAAGGCGAUGAUCAGUAGGCCGUCUGAGGGGAAGGACGGCCACAAUGGGACUGGAGCACGGCCCAGACUUCUACGGGGAGCAGCAGGGGGGAAUCUUCCGCAAUUGACGAAAGGCCGGCGGAGCAACGCCGCGGUGGUGAUGACGGCCUUCGGGUUGUAAAGCUCUGUUAAUCGGGACGAAAGGCCUUCUUGCGAAUAGUGAGAAGGAUUGACGGUACCGGAAGAGAAAGCCACGGCUAACUACGUG